This 60-nucleotide microRNA precursor is filed under the name Ptychodera flava. RNAcentral's name for it is "Pfl-Mir-103_pre stem-loop". The record is from RNAcentral. Lineage: Eukaryota; Metazoa; Hemichordata; Enteropneusta; Ptychoderidae.
CAUCACUAGAUCUUGCUGAUAUCCUUGUGAAGCUCAGAUGCAGCAUGAUGUAGUGGUGUG